UACGUAGGGGGCUAGCGUUGUCCGGAAUCAUUGGGCGUAAAGCGCGUGUAGGGGCCCGGUAAGUUCGCUGUGAAAGUCGGGGGCUCAACCCUCGGAUGCCGGUGGAUACUGUCGGGCUAGAGUACGGAAGAGGCGAGUGGAAUUCCUGGUGUAGCGGUGAAAUGCGCAGAUAUCAGGAGGAACACCGGUGGCGAAGGCGGCCAACUGGACCAUUACUGACGCUGAGGCGCGAAAGCGUGGGGAGCAAACAGG
This 252-nucleotide ribosomal RNA is filed under the name uncultured bacterium. RNAcentral's name for it is "partial 16S ribosomal RNA". It matches the Rfam family "Bacterial small subunit ribosomal RNA", at positions 524 to 776 of the family's 1533-position model. The record is from RNAcentral.